CCUACGGGUGGCAGCAGUAGGGAAUCUUUCACAAUGGGCGAAAGCCUGAUGGAGCAACGCCGCGUGCAGGAUGACGGCCUUCGGGUUGUAAACUGCUUUUAUAAGCGAGAAAUAUGAUGGUAACUUAUGAAUAAGGAUCGGCUAACUACGUGCCAGCAGCUGCGGUCAUACGUAGGAUCCGAGCAUUAUCCGGAGUGACUGAGUGUAAAGAGUUGCGUAGGUGGCAUAAUAAGUAGCUAGUGAAAUCUGGUGGCUCAACCAUUCAGACUAUUAGCUAAACUGGUAAGCUCGAGACCGUUAGGGGUAAGUGGAAUUUCUAGUGUAGGAGUGAAAUGCGUAGAUAUUAGAAGGAACACCAAUAGCGUAGGCAGGUUACUGGGACGGUUCUGACACUAAGGCACGAAAGCGUAGGGAGCAAACGGGAUUAGAUACCCGUGUAGUC
RNAcentral lists this ribosomal RNA (442 nucleotides) under uncultured bacterium. RNAcentral's name for it is "partial 16S ribosomal RNA". It matches the Rfam family "Bacterial small subunit ribosomal RNA", at positions 338 to 795 of the family's 1533-position model. The record is from RNAcentral.